CACGUAGGGCGCAAGCGUUGUCCGGAAUUAUUGGGCGUAAAGAGCUCGUAGGCGGUUCGGUAAGUCAGGUGUGAAAUCUCCACGCUCAACGUGGAGGGGCCACCUGAUACUGCCGUGACUCGAGUCCGGUAGGGGAGUGUGGAAUUCCCGGUGUAGCGGUGAAAUGCGCAGAUAUCGGGAGGAACACCGGUGGCGAAGGCGGUUCUCUGGGCCUUACCUGACGCUGAGGAGCGAAAGCGUGGGGAGCGAACAGG
Molecule: ribosomal RNA, 254 nt
Filed under: uncultured bacterium
Lineage: Bacteria
Description: partial 16S ribosomal RNA
Rfam family: Bacterial small subunit ribosomal RNA
Source: RNAcentral